CCUACGGGUGGCAGCAGUGAGGAAUAUUGGUCAAUGGACGAGCGUCUGAACCAGCCAAGUAGCGUGAAGGAUGACUGCCCUAUGGGUUGUAAACUUCUUUUAUAUGGGAAUAAAAUGUUCCACGUGUGGGAUUUUGUAUGUACCAUAUGAAUAAGGAUCGGCUAACUCCGUGCCAGCAGCCCCAGUAAUACGGAGGAUCCGAUCGUUGUCCGGGUUUAUUGGGUUUAAAGGGAGCGUAGGUGGUUUUUGAAGUCAGUUGUGAAAGUUUGCGGCUCAACCGUAAAAUUGCAGUUGAAACUGGCAGUCUUGAGUACAGUAGAGGUGGGCGGAAUGCGUGGUGUAGCGGUGAAAUGCUUAGAUAUCACGAAGAACUCCGAUUGCGAAGGCAGUUCACUGGACUGCAACUGACACUGAGGCUCGAAAGUGUGGGUAUCAAACAGGAUUAGAUACCCGUGUAGUC
RNAcentral lists this ribosomal RNA (460 nucleotides) under uncultured bacterium. RNAcentral's name for it is "partial 16S ribosomal RNA". It matches the Rfam family "Bacterial small subunit ribosomal RNA", at positions 338 to 795 of the family's 1533-position model. The record is from RNAcentral.